CUGCCCUACGGGGCGCAGCAGUGGGGAAUAUUGCACAAUGGGGGAAACCCUGAUGCAGCAACGCCGCGUGAGUGAAGAAGUAUUUCGGUAUGUAAAGCUCUAUCAGCAGGGAAGAAGAUGACGGUACCUGAUUAAGAAGCCCCGGCUAACUACGUGCCAGCAGCCGCGGUAAUACGUAGGGGGCAAGCGUUAUCCGGAUUUACUGGGUGUAAAGGGAGCGCAGACGGCAGUGCAAGCCAGGAGUGAAAGCCCGGGGCCCAACCCCGGGACUGCUCUUGGAACUGCGCGGCUGGAGUGCAGGAGGG
RNAcentral lists this ribosomal RNA (305 nucleotides) under uncultured bacterium. RNAcentral describes it as "bacterial SSU rRNA". It matches the Rfam family "Bacterial small subunit ribosomal RNA", at positions 334 to 656 of the family's 1533-position model. The record is from RNAcentral.